GGUACUUUGACCGUGCAAAGGUAGCAUAAUCAUUAGUUUUUUAAUUGAAAGCUGGAAUGAAAGGUUGGAUGAGAAAAUAGCUGUCUCUAUUUAAAUUAAUUAGAACUUUAUUUUUAAGUUAAAAAGCUUAAAUUUUGUUAGAAGACGAGAAGACCCUAUAGAGUUUUAUUUAUUUUCUUAAUUUAAUUUUUAGUAUUAAAUAUUUUUAUUAUAAAAAUAAAUUUGGUUGGGGUGAUUGAGAAAUUUACUAAACUUUUUUUAAAUUUUUACAUUGAUUUAUGAGUUUUUGAUCCUUAUAUAAAGAUUAAAAGAUAAAAUUACCUUAGGGAUAACAGCGUAAUUUUUUUAAAGAGUUCUAAUCGAAAAAAAAGAUUGCGACCUCGAUGUUGGAUUAAAAUAAAAUUCUGGUGUAGAAGCUAGAG
RNAcentral lists this ribosomal RNA (422 nucleotides) under Brachyderes rugatus calvus. Its description in RNAcentral is "partial 16S ribosomal RNA". The record is from RNAcentral. Lineage: Eukaryota; Metazoa; Arthropoda; Insecta; Coleoptera; Curculionidae.